GGCCAUAGCUCAGUGGUAGAGCAUCUGCUUUCCAUGCAGAAGGUCCUAGGUUCAAACCCUGGCAUCGCCG
This is a non-coding RNA of Podarcis lilfordi (Lilford's wall lizard), 70 nucleotides long. NCBI's taxonomy places the organism in Eukaryota, Metazoa, Chordata, Lepidosauria, Squamata, Lacertidae. The record is from the annotation of a GenBank genome assembly.